CGCACUUCUGUAGGCAAUGGUCUUAUUUAAUAAAUUUUUCCCUGCUUUCACUUUUAGAGCUAUAUUUACACAGACAAAUUUAAUUCAUUGGGUUUCCCUGUGUUUGUCCACCAGGCACACAUGGGAAGGACUGUAAACAGGUAUGUCAGUGUUCAGCUGAGAAUGAAGAGUGUCACCCAGUCACGGGGAGAUGUACCUGUCUGCCCAGCUACCGUGGAAACCGCUGUCAUCUCCGAUGCCCAAAAGGCACUUAAGGUCUAAAUUGCCAAAGGAUGUGCAAAUGCCUUAAUGGCGGCAGCUUUGACACCUAGACUGGCACCUGUUACUGCCCUCCUGGCUUCACUGGCGCUGACUCCCGUCGAAUUUGUCCUGAGGAUCACUAUGGGCAGGACUGUGACCAACGGUGUCCCUGUGGCUCAGGACAGCAUGACCCAGUGACUGGCGGGUGCCAGUGUCCACCUAGCCAGAUGGGAGCCAGGUGUCAGCAAGUGUAGGAUGUCCCCAAACAAUGUAUGGCCCAAAUUGUGAGCUAAAAUGUACCUGUAAAAAUGGUGGACUUUGCAGUCCUGUAGAUGGAAGAAGUACCUGUGGUCUUGGAUAGACAGGAAAUUACCGUGAAAAAGGUAAGUUGAUUAUCACAUUCUUUUAUUCAAUAAAAUUCUGGGGCAUACUUCCA
This 676-nucleotide long non-coding RNA is filed under the name Ursus maritimus (polar bear). Its description in RNAcentral is "lncRNA (ENSUMAG00000002868.1)". The record is from RNAcentral. Lineage: Eukaryota; Metazoa; Chordata; Mammalia; Carnivora; Ursidae.